This 301-nucleotide ribosomal RNA is filed under the name uncultured bacterium. RNAcentral's name for it is "partial 16S ribosomal RNA". It matches the Rfam family "Bacterial small subunit ribosomal RNA", at positions 509 to 807 of the family's 1533-position model. The record is from RNAcentral.
CAGCCGCCGCGGGAAUACGAGGGGAGCUAGCGUUAUUCGGAAUUACUGGGCGUAAAGCGCACGUAGGCGGCUUUGUAAGUUAGAGGUGAAAGCCCAGAGCUCAACUCUGGAAUUGCCUUUAAGACUGCAUCGCUUGAAUCCAGGAGAGGUGAGUGGAAUUCCGAGUGUAGAGGUGAAAUUCGUAGAUAUUCGGAAGAACACCAGUGGCGAAGGCGGCUCACUGGACUGGUAUUGACGCUGAGGUGCGAAAGCGUGGGGAGCAAACAGGAUUAGAUACCCGCGUAGUCCCUGUCUCUUAUAC